RNAcentral lists this transfer RNA (76 nucleotides) under Hyphomicrobiales bacterium. Its description in RNAcentral is "tRNA-Thr". It matches the Rfam family "tRNA". From Rfam's summary of the family: Transfer RNA (tRNA) molecules are approximately 80 nucleotides in length. Their secondary structure includes four short double-helical elements and three loops (D, anti-codon, and T loops). The record is from RNAcentral. RNAcentral also lists the same sequence under 3 other names. Lineage: Bacteria; Pseudomonadati; Pseudomonadota; Alphaproteobacteria; Hyphomicrobiales.
GCCGGUUUAGCUCAGCUGGUAGAGCAACCGCCUUGUAAGCGGUAGGUCGGGGGUUCGAUUCCCUCAACCGGCACCA